This is a long non-coding RNA of Mesoplodon densirostris (Blainville's beaked whale), 324 nucleotides long. RefSeq lists it as uncharacterized. Lineage: Eukaryota; Metazoa; Chordata; Mammalia; Artiodactyla; Ziphiidae. The transcript has 3 exons. The record is from RefSeq and is a predicted model, not a curated record.
UGGGCGCGGCUCGCGAGCCGGUCAUCUCUAUAGCAAUGAGGAGCUUCCACCUGUCCUGCCGAGGGACUCGGUCCACCUGAGGUGGGAGGCGGGAGGAGCCCGAGACCCCGAGUCUCGUCGGCCGCCUGCGGGUGAGAAGAUUUGGACUGCCCUUCCCUGGCCCAACUCUGCAGCCACCCACAGUUCUUUCUCAUGACGAGGACGUCCCCACACUCGUCCUCAGAUGGCAGGAAGAUCUCGGGCACUGAGCACAGUCGCAAACCUGUACAGAAACUCGUUUGUAGUACAGAGGGCAAGGUGACACCAGCUUUCCAAAGCAGAGGG